ACAUGAUCCCUGCACAAGGAUGACAUGCAAAUUGGUGAAGCGUUCCAUAUUUUU
Molecule: small nuclear RNA, 54 nt
Filed under: Dipodomys ordii (Ord's kangaroo rat)
Lineage: Eukaryota; Metazoa; Chordata; Mammalia; Rodentia; Heteromyidae
Source: RNAcentral